Gymnothorax javanicus (giant moray) is the source of this 73-nucleotide non-coding RNA. The record is from the annotation of a GenBank genome assembly. NCBI's taxonomy places the organism in Eukaryota, Metazoa, Chordata, Actinopteri, Anguilliformes, Muraenidae.
GGCACGGUGCCAUAGUGGUUAGUACUAUUAUCUCACAGCAAGAAGGUCGUGGGUUCGAUUCCAGCCUGGGGCC